Long non-coding RNA from Perca flavescens (yellow perch), 1428 nucleotides. RefSeq lists it as uncharacterized. NCBI's taxonomy places the organism in Eukaryota, Metazoa, Chordata, Actinopteri, Perciformes, Percidae. The record is from RefSeq and is a predicted model, not a curated record. The transcript has 2 exons.
GCAUGUCUUCUUUGUAUCAUUCAGUCCUACAAGCCAUGUUUAAUACUGAUGGAUAGGAUAGUUAAUAGUCUAUAGAGAUGUUUUAUUUUCUGCCUUCAGAUGUUUCGAGUGUAGCUCACCUUGCAGCAGGUAUUCCAUCAUAUUGAUCGUUCCCCCGGUGACAGGCAUCACUGUAACAGGAGGAGCUUCCAUAUUUUCUCAGGCAAUGCGUGGUUACUGAAUCUGAAGGAGGAACAGGUUAUUAGCUAGCGUUGAAUCGGUGGUGUAGCUACAAGUAACGUUACCGUCUACAUUAGCUAGGGUUAGACUGUUAACUGAGUUGUCAAUUUCAAACGCUUAACUUUUGCUAAUGUAAUGUUAACCCUAUUUUAUACAGUUUAUGCUGUUAACUAAAUAUAGCGAACUCGCUAGUUAGCUAAUUACCUAAUGUAACGUAGCGAUAGUUAACAGCUAACGCUUCGUUUUUUUGUUAGUUUGCUUUAUUAACGUUACCGUUAACUUUACCUGAGAAACCCCGAACAACAAAAUGCAGCUAAUCACUUGUUGGGGAACGUAGGAUAAAUGUUGGUGUGGUCGUCUUCGGUAGAGCCUCCACGGUAAAGACCGAGGAUCCGGUUUCCUGAUGACAACUGAUGAAUAAACCACUGAAGUCUCCUCUUCCACCUGCAACACGACACAUUCCAUUACAUGAACAAAACAACACACACAUGCUUGUUCAUUGCAGCAUGGUAGAUAGUUUUAGGUUAUGACAUAAUCAUCACCACCAUAAUUAUAUAACACUUACCCUGCUAUUCAAGCCCCAGCAACAAGGGUGAACAGGAAACGCUUUGAAGAGAUAGAAACAGAAUCAGGGGGGGCAUACUUGUCUAGCCCAUUGUCAAACAUCUACUUCUCUUUCAAUGCAGCAUACCAAUAUACAAACAAUAAACAGGAAGUUCAGUAAGACAAAGAGCUGCAUGCCCUACCUGCCCACAAUCUUUGUCUGAGGUGGCAAAUUAAAAGUGCCAUUAAAAUAAGACAUGUAAGGGCUGCCGAUGUUCCAUAAACAACUGGAAUCAGAUAUUCAAGCUCUGUGGGUAUAUCUGUAAAACCAAAAAACGUAAGAAUUGAAAUUCGGGCUAUGACCUCCUUAAAGAGAGAUACAGCAAAACACCCACCUGUUGUUAUGUUUAAAGCAUUUGAUGGUCCAUGAGUGCUGUUAACUGAACUGCAUCCAUCAGACAUCUGCUUUGCACUGCAAUUUAUUCCAUUUGUAUCUACAAGCAUUGUCCUUGUGCCUGUCUCCAAAUAAAGUGUGCUGUUUGGUUUGAUGUUACUGAAUUCCAUGUCACACAUCACAGUACAAGAAACAAAGGAAUCAUCACCGUGGUGUACUGUAAUAAAGCAAAAAAAAUAUUCUAAGUUAAAGCAUUCAAUUUUGACAAAAGA